This 74-nucleotide transfer RNA is filed under the name bacterium. RNAcentral's name for it is "tRNA-Val". It matches the Rfam family "tRNA". From Rfam's summary of the family: Transfer RNA (tRNA) molecules are approximately 80 nucleotides in length. Their secondary structure includes four short double-helical elements and three loops (D, anti-codon, and T loops). The record is from RNAcentral.
GGCCGCUUAGCUCAGUUGGCUAGAGCGUUUCAUUGACAUUGAAAAGGUCGGGGGUUCAAGUCCCUCAGCGGCCA